UGCAAGCUUGUAUUCUUGUCAGUGUCCCAG
Molecule: non-coding RNA, 30 nt
Filed under: Mus musculus (house mouse)
Lineage: Eukaryota; Metazoa; Chordata; Mammalia; Rodentia; Muridae
Source: RNAcentral